This 397-nucleotide ribosomal RNA is filed under the name bacterium enrichment culture. RNAcentral's name for it is "bacterial SSU rRNA". It matches the Rfam family "Bacterial small subunit ribosomal RNA", at positions 521 to 916 of the family's 1533-position model. The record is from RNAcentral.
UAAUACGGAGGUUGCAAGCGUUGUUCGGAAUAACUGGGCGUAAAGGGAGCGCAGGCGGUCUCGUAAGUCUAAAGUGAAAUGCCAGGGCUCAACCUUGGACGUGCUUUGGAUACUGCGUGACUUGAGUACGUGAGAGGAGAGUGGAAUUCCAGGUGUAGCGGUGAAAUGCGUAGAUAUCUGGAGGAACACCGGUGGCGAAAGCGGCUCUCUGGCACGUUACUGACGCUGAGGCUCGAAAGCGUGGGGAGCGAACGGGAUUAGAUACCCCGGUAGUCCACGCCGUAAACGUUGUGCACUAGGUGUAGGAGGUAUCGACCCCUUCUGUGCCGCAGCUAACGCAUUAAGUGCACCGCCUGGGGAGUACGGUCGCAAGACUGAAACUCAAAUGAAUUGACGG